GUGAAAAUACAGAAAAUAACAACUUUGUAAAACUGGCUUAAACUUUAAUUUAAGCAACAGAACAUUGUAUCAUACCUUGUUCACAUUUCAAAUUGUACAGGUUCUGGUCACGUUCAAUUGUUAUCCUAUUAACAUAACGUUCACGUUCAAUUGUUGUCCUAUGUAACAUAACGUUCACGUUCAAUUGUUGUCCUAUGUAACAUAAUGUUCACGUUCAAUUGUUGUCCUAUGUAACAUAACGUUCACGUUCAAUUGUUGUCCUAUUAACAUAACGUUCACGUUCAAUUGUUAUCCUAUUAACAUAACGUUCACGUUCAAUGGUUAUCCUAGGUAACAUAACGUUCACGUUCAAUGGUUAUCCUAGGUAACAUAACGUUCACGUUCAAUGGUUAUCCUAUGUAACAUAACGUUCACGUUCAAUGGUUAUCCUAGGUAACAUAACGUUCACGUUCAAUGGUUAUCCUAGGUAACAUAAUGUAUAUUCACCAUACAGACAGAUUAUCCGCGUAUUCCAAAGGUGAGAGAAUGAUACUGCACAAAUGACACACAGAUAACUCAACUAUACAGGCUCAUUUUCAAUCACAAGCCAGUGUUGACUUGUAGUAAAAUAGUCUUUAUUCAUCUCAACUAGGAAGGAAAUACUACAUACCUAAAAAUAUUGAAACUGUAAAUUCAACACGACAAGAACUUCAAGCAGACCUGUUGUACAGCAUACAUACGGAUCUUUUCAAUUU
Pecten maximus is the source of this 734-nucleotide long non-coding RNA. RefSeq lists it as uncharacterized. The transcript is spliced from 2 exons. The record is from RefSeq and is a predicted model, not a curated record. NCBI's taxonomy places the organism in Eukaryota, Metazoa, Mollusca, Bivalvia, Pectinida, Pectinidae.